Molecule: ribosomal RNA, 462 nt
Filed under: uncultured bacterium
Lineage: Bacteria
Description: partial 16S ribosomal RNA
Rfam family: Bacterial small subunit ribosomal RNA
Source: RNAcentral
GACGAACGCUGGCGGCGUGCUUAACACAUGCAAGUCGAGCGGACAGGCCCUUCGGGGUACUCGAGCGGCGAACGGGUGAGUAACACGUGAGUAACCGGCCCUCGACUUUGUGACAACCCUCGGAAACGGGGGCUCAUACCGGAUACUCGUUCUAAAUCGCGUGAUUUGGGUGGGAAUGUUUUUCGGUCUGAGAUGGACUCGCGGCCGAUCGGCUCGUUGGUGGAGUACUGGCCUACCACGGAGCGGACGGGUAGCCGGCCUGAGAGGGCGACCGGCGACACUGGGCCUGCGGCACGGCCCAGACUCGUACGGUAGGCAGAAGUCGGGAAUAUUGCACAAUGGGCGCAAGCGUGAUACAGCGGCGCCGCGUGCGGGAUGACGGCCUUCGGGUUGUAAACCACUUUCAGCAGGGACGAAGCGUAAGUGACGGUACCUGCAGAAGAAGCGCCGGCCAACUACGUG